RNAcentral lists this ribosomal RNA (291 nucleotides) under Exiguobacterium profundum. Its description in RNAcentral is "partial 16S ribosomal RNA". It matches the Rfam family "Bacterial small subunit ribosomal RNA", at positions 109 to 395 of the family's 1533-position model. The record is from RNAcentral. Lineage: Bacteria; Bacillati; Bacillota; Bacilli; Caryophanales.
AGUAACACGUAAAGAACCUGCCCAUAGGUCUGGGAUAACCACGAGAAAUCGGGGCUAAUACCGGAUGUGUCAUCGGACCGCAUGGUCCGCUGAUGAAAGGCGCUUCGGCGUCGCCCAUGGAUGGCUUUGCGGUGCAUUAGCUAGUUGGUGGGGUAACGGCCCACCAAGGCGACGAUGCAUAGCCGACCUGAGAGGGUGAUCGGCCACACUGGGACUGAGACACGGCCCAGACUCCUACGGGAGGCAGCAGUAGGGAAUCUUCCACAAUGGACGAAAGUCUGAUGGAGCAAC